This 337-nucleotide unclassified non-coding RNA is filed under the name soil metagenome. RNAcentral's name for it is "partial contains 5.8S ribosomal RNA, internal transcribed spacer 2, and large subunit ribosomal RNA". The stretch from base 1 to 120 matches the Rfam family "5.8S ribosomal RNA", at positions 35 to 154 of the family's 154-position model. The record is from RNAcentral.
GAUGAAGAACGUAGCGAAAUGCGAUAAGUAGUGUGAAUUGCAGAAUUCAGUGAAUCAUCGAAUCUCUGAACGCACAUUGCGCCCCUUGGUAUUCCAUGGGGCAUGCCUGUUCGAGCGUCAUUUGUACCUUCAAGCUCUGCUUGGUGUUGGGUGUUUGUCUCGCCUCUGCGUGUAGACUCGCCUCAAAACAAUUGGCAGCCGGCGUAUUGAUUUCGGAGCGCAGUACAUCUCGCGCUUUGCACUCAUAACGACGACGUCCAAAAGUACAUUUUUACACUCUUGACCUCGGAUCAGGUAGGGAUACCCGCUGAACUUAAGCAUAUCAAUAAGCGGAGGA